This 253-nucleotide ribosomal RNA is filed under the name uncultured bacterium. RNAcentral's name for it is "partial 16S ribosomal RNA". It matches the Rfam family "Bacterial small subunit ribosomal RNA", at positions 524 to 776 of the family's 1533-position model. The record is from RNAcentral.
UACGAGGGGUCCAAGCGUUGCUCGGAAUCAUUGGGCGUAAAGCGGGUGUAGGUGGCUUUGUAAGUCAGGAGUGAAAGCCCUAGGCUCAACCUAGGAAGUGCUUUUGACACUGCGAAGCUUGAGUGUAGGAGAGGAUCGUGGAAUUCCGGGUGUAGUGGUGAAAUACGUAGAUAUCUGGAGGAACACCGGUGGCGAAGGCGGCAUCCUGGACCGACACUGACACUGAGGAGCGAAAGCCAGGGGAGCAAACGGG